RNAcentral lists this ribosomal RNA (254 nucleotides) under uncultured bacterium. Its description in RNAcentral is "partial 16S ribosomal RNA". It matches the Rfam family "Bacterial small subunit ribosomal RNA", at positions 524 to 777 of the family's 1533-position model. The record is from RNAcentral.
UACGUAGGGGGCAAGCGUUGUCCGGAUUUAUUGGGCGUAAAGAGCGUGUAGGCGGCCAGGUAGGUCCGUUGUGAAAACUCGAGGCUCAACCUCGAGACGCCGAUGGAAACCAUCUGACUAGAGUCCGGAAGAGGAGAGUGGAAUUCCUGGUGUAGCGGUGGAAUGCGCAGAUAUCAGGAGGAACACCAAUGGCGAAGGCAGAUCUCUGGGCCGUAACUGACGCUGAGGAGCGAAGACAUGGGGAGCGAACAGGA